UACGUAGGGGGCUAGCGUUGUCCGGAAUCAUUGGGCGUAAAGAGCGUGUAGGCGGCUCGGUAAGUCCGCUGUCAAAGUCAAAGGCUCAACCUUUGAAUGUCAGUGGAUACUGCCGGGCUAGAGUCCGGAAGAGGCGAGUGGAACUCCUGGUGUAGCGGUGAAAUGCGUAGAGAUCAGGAAGAACACCGGUGGCGAAAGCGCUCUGCUAGGCCGCAACUGACACUGAGGGACGAAAGCUAGGGGAGCGAAUGGG
This 253-nucleotide ribosomal RNA is filed under the name uncultured bacterium. RNAcentral's name for it is "partial 16S ribosomal RNA". It matches the Rfam family "Bacterial small subunit ribosomal RNA", at positions 524 to 776 of the family's 1533-position model. The record is from RNAcentral.